AUUGUUUUGGCAGAAUAGUGUAAUGAAUUUAGAAUUCAUAAAUGUAAUUUAUUUACAAACAAUA
This 64-nucleotide transfer RNA is filed under the name Haliplus lineatocollis. Its description in RNAcentral is "tRNA-Leu". The record is from RNAcentral. Lineage: Eukaryota; Metazoa; Arthropoda; Insecta; Coleoptera; Haliplidae.